This 2815-nucleotide long non-coding RNA is filed under the name Anas platyrhynchos platyrhynchos (common mallard). RNAcentral's name for it is "lncRNA (ENSAPLG00000023264.1)". Lineage: Eukaryota; Metazoa; Chordata; Aves; Anseriformes; Anatidae. The record is from RNAcentral.
AACCUCGACAUCCCCCUCCUUUUGGAGGAGCUGCGGGUUUUGCGGCAGCGCCAGCUCCGCCAGAUGCAGCUCACCCAAGAAAUUUGCCGCCACCUCCUCCUUUUGGGGGCGCCGGGCCCCCCGAAAACCCACCCCCCGCGCCCAAAAAAACCCCAAAACCCUCUCCCAAAACCCAUUUUCCCCUUUUUUCCCCCCAAAACGGAGCAGGCGGCGGUUUUUUUCGCCGCCCCCUACCGCUUGGCGCCGGCCCCGCGUGGCCGAACCCCCGAAUCCGCCCCGUUGCCGGGCGACCCCCCGGGACCCCCCGUGCGACCCCUAAAUAUUUUUGGGGUGAAUUCCGGGGUUUUUAGGCACGGCUGCGGGGGCGAGCGGCCCUACGGCUGCGGCGUUUGUGGCAACCGUUUCGCCACCCGGGGCAACCUCAAAGUUCACCUCCACCGGCACCGCCAAAAGAGCCCCCAAGUGGCCACCCGGGACCCCCAAGUGGCCACCCGGGACCCCCAAGUGGCCCCCCGGGACCCCCAAGUGGCCACCGAGGGGGUCCAGGUGGCCACCGAGGGGUCGCAGGUGGCCACCGAGGGGUCGCGGGUUGGGGGCGGAAGAUUUCAGCAACCGGACGCGGCGUCGGGUGGAGGGGGGGAGGUGGAGGAGGUCGGGGGGCUAGCGGUGGCCCACGGGGGGCUACCGGGGGCCAACGGGCAAGUAGGGGGCAAGGGGGGGCAAGCGGGGGGCAACGGGGAGGGGGGGGGCAAUGAUGGCCGAUCGGGGGUCAAUAGUGGUCAAUCGGGGGUCAAUAGUGGUCAAUUGGUGGCCAAUAGUGGUCAAUCGGUGGCCAACGCUCAACUGAUGGCCAAUAGUGGCCCAAAAAUGGCCAAUAGUGGCCCAACGAUGGCCAAUAGUGGCCCAACGGUGGUCAAUAGUGGCCCAGUGAUGAUCAAUAGUGGUCAAUUGGUGGCCAAUAGUGGUCAAUUGGUGGCCAACGCUCAACUGAUGGCCAAUAGUGGCCCAACGGUGGUCAAUAGUGGCCCAACGAUGACUAUCAGUGGUCAACCGAUGGCCAACAGUGGCCCAACGAUGACUAAUAGUAGCCCAACGAUGACCAACACUCAACUGAUGGCCAACAGUGGUCCAAAAAUGGCCAAUAGUGGCCCAACGAUGACCAACAGUUGCCCAAUGAUGGCCAACGCUCAACCGAUGGCCAACAGUAGCCCAACGGUGGUCAACAAGGUCCAACUGAUGGCCAACGCCCAACCGAUGGCCAACAGUGGCCCAAAAAUGGCCAAUAGUGGCCCAAAAAUGGUCAAUAGUAGCCCAACGAUGGUCAACGCUCAACCGAUGGCCACCAGUAGCCCAACGAUGACCAACGCUCAACUGAUGACCAACAGUGGCCCAAAAAUGGCCAAUAGUAGCCCAACAGUGGUCAAUAGUGGCCCAACGUUGACCAAUAGCGGUCAACCGAUGGCCACUAGUAGCCCAACGAUGGCCACCAGUGGCCCAACGAUGACCAACACUCAACUGAUGACCAACAGUGGCCCAAAAAUGGCCAAUAGUGGCCCAACGAUGGUCAAUAGUAGCCCAACGAUGACCAACGCUCAACCAAUGGCCAGUAGUGGCCCAAAAAUGGCCAAUAGUGGCCCAACGAUGACCAACAGUAGCCCAAUGAUAGUCAACAGUGGCCCAACGAUGACCAACAGUGGCCAACCGAUGGACAAUAGUGGUCAACUGAUGGCCAACAGUGGCCCAACGAUGGCCAACAAGGUCCAACUGAUGGCCAACGCCCAACCGAUGGACAAUAGUGGCCCAAAAAUGGCCAAUAGUGGCCCAACGAUGGCCAACAAGGUCCAAUUAAUGGCCGACACCCAACUGAUGGCCACUAGUAGCCCAACGAUGACCAACAGUGGCCCAACGAUGACCAACAGUAGCCUAACGGUGGUCAACAAGGUUCAAUUGGUGGCCAACGCUCAACCGAUGGCCAAUAGUGGCCCAAAAAUGGCCAAUAGUAGCCCAACGAUGGCCAACGCUCAACCGAUGGCCAACAGUAGCCCAACAAUGACCAACAGUAGCCCAAUGAUGGCCAACACUCAACCGAUGGCCAACAGUGGCCCCAAAAUGGCCAAUAGUGGCCCAACGGUGGUCAAUAGUAGCCCAACGAUGACCAACACUCAACUGAUGGCCAAUAGUGGCCCAAAAAAUGGCCAACAGUGGCCCAACGAUGACCAAUAGUAGCCCAACGAUGACUAUCAGUGGCCCAGCGAUGGCCAAUAGUGGCCCAACGAUGGUCAAUAGUAGCCCAACGAUGACCAACAGUGGCCCAACGAUGGCCAACAAGGUCCAACUGAUGGCCAACGCCCAACCGAUGGCCAAUAGUGGCCCAACGAUGACCAAUAGUAGCCCAACGGUGGCCAAUUGUGGCCCAACGAUGGUCAACGCUCAACUGAUGGCCAACAGUAGCCCAACGAUGACCAACAGUGGCCCAAUGAUGACGAACAGUAGCCCAAUGAUGGCCAACGCUCAACUGAUGGCCAAUAGUGGCCCAAAAAUGGCCAAUAGUAGCCCAACGAUGGUCAACGCUCAACCAAUGGCCACCAGUAGCCCAACGAUGGCCACCAGUAGCCCAAUGAUGACCAACGCUCAACCGAUGGCCAACAGUUGCCCAAAAAUGGCCAAUAGUGGCCCAAAAAUGACCGAUAGUGGCCCAAAAAUGGCCAAUAGUGGCCCAAAAAUGACCAGUAGUGGCCCAACGAUGACCAACAGUGGCCAACCGUUGGCCAACACCCAAUUAACGACCUCCAACGCCCAAUUAACGCCCCCCAAC